This 406-nucleotide ribosomal RNA is filed under the name uncultured bacterium. RNAcentral describes it as "partial 16S ribosomal RNA". It matches the Rfam family "Bacterial small subunit ribosomal RNA", at positions 28 to 526 of the family's 1533-position model. The record is from RNAcentral.
GACGAACGCUGGCGGCGUGCCUAAUACAUGCAAGUCGAACGAGUGGCGGACGGGUGAGUAAUGUCUGGGAAACUGCCUGAUGGAGGGGGAUAACUACUGGAAACGGGCGCUAAUACCGCCUACUAUCAGAUGAGCCUAGGUCGGAUUUGCUAGUUGGUGGGGUAAAGGCCUACCAAGGCGACGAUCCGUAACUGGUCUGAGAGGGUGAUCGGCCACACUGGGACUGAGACACGGCCCAGACUCCUACGGGAGGCAGCAGUGGGGAAUAUUGCACAAUGGGCGCAAGCCUGAUGCAGCCAUGCCGCGUGUAUGAAGAAGGCCUUCGGGUUGUAAAGUACUUUCAGCGGGGAGGCGUUACCCGCAGAAGAAGCACCGGCUAACUCCGUGCCAGCAGCCGCGGUAAUUC